RNAcentral lists this ribosomal RNA (1282 nucleotides) under uncultured Pseudoalteromonas sp. Its description in RNAcentral is "partial 16S ribosomal RNA". It matches the Rfam family "Bacterial small subunit ribosomal RNA", at positions 59 to 1370 of the family's 1533-position model. Lineage: Bacteria; Pseudomonadati; Pseudomonadota; Gammaproteobacteria; Alteromonadales; Pseudoalteromonadaceae. The record is from RNAcentral.
AAGUCGAGCGGUAACAUUUCUAGCUUGCUAGAAGAUGACGAGCGGCGGACGGGUGAGUAAUGCUUGGGAACAUGCCUUGAGGUGGGGGACAACAGUUGGAAACGACUGCUAAUACCGCAUAAUGUCUACGGACCAAAGGGGGCUUCGGCUCUCGCCUUUAGAUUGGCCCAAGUGGGAUUAGCUAGUUGGUGAGGUAAUGGCUCACCAAGGCAACGAUCCCUAGCUGGUUUGAGAGGAUGAUCAGCCACACUGGAACUGAGACACGGUCCAGACUCCUACGGGAGGCAGCAGUGGGGAAUAUUGCACAAUGGGCGAAAGCCUGAUGCAGCCAUGCCGCGUGUGUGAAGAAGGCCUUCGGGUUGUAAAGCACUUUCAGUCAGGAGGAAAGGGUGUGAGUUAAUACCUCACAUCUGUGACGUUACUGACAGAAGAAGCACCGGCUAACUCCGUGCCAGCAGCCGCGGUAAUACGGAGGGUGCGAGCGUUAAUCGGAAUUACUGGGCGUAAAGCGUACGCAGGCGGUUUGUUAAGCGAGAUGUGAAAGCCCCGGGCUCAACCUGGGAACUGCAUUUCGAACUGGCAAACUAGAGUGUGAUAGAGGGUGGUAGAAUUUCAGGUGUAGCGGUGAAAUGCGUAGAGAUCUGAAGGAAUACCGAUGGCGAAGGCAGCCACCUGGGUCAACACUGACGCUCAUGUACGAAAGCGUGGGGAGCAAACGGGAUUAGAUACCCCGGUAGUCCACGCCGUAAACGAUGUCUACUAGAAGCUCGGAACCUCGGUUCUGUUUUUCAAAGCUAACGCAUUAAGUAGACCGCCUGGGGAGUACGGCCGCAAGGUUAAAACUCAAAUGAAUUGACGGGGGCCCGCACAAGCGGUGAGCAUGUGGUUUAAUUCGAUGCAACGCGAGAACCUUACCUACACUUGACAUACAGAGAACUUUCUAGAGAUAGAUUGGUGCCUUCGGGAACUCUGAUACAGGUGCUGCAUGGCUGUCGUCAGCUCGUGUGUGAGAUGUUGGGUAAGUCCCGCACGAGCGCACCCCUAUCCUUAGUGCUAGCAGGUAAUGCUGAAAACUCUAAGGAGACUGCGGGAUAACUGGAGGAGGUGGGACGACGUCAGUCAUCAUGGCCCUUACGUGAGGGCUACACACGUGCUACAUGGCCUACAAAGGGCUGCAACUGCGAGUACGCAAUCACUAAGGCGCUCUGAUCCGGGAUGGAACUGCACACCGACCUCUGGAGAUCGAAUCCUCAUUAAUCGGCGACAUACAAAAGUGACCCCG